This 1226-nucleotide ribosomal RNA is filed under the name Escherichia coli. Its description in RNAcentral is "partial 23S ribosomal RNA". It matches the Rfam family "Bacterial large subunit ribosomal RNA", at positions 1585 to 2792 of the family's 2925-position model. The record is from RNAcentral. Lineage: Bacteria; Pseudomonadati; Pseudomonadota; Gammaproteobacteria; Enterobacterales; Enterobacteriaceae.
CUGAAGCAACAAAUGCCCUGCUUCCAGGAAAAGCCUCUAAGCAUCAGGUAACAUCAAAUCGUACCCCAAACCGACACAGGUGGUCAGGUAGAGAAUACCAAGGCGCUUGAGAGAACUCGGGUGAAGGAACUAGGCAAAAUGGUGCCGUAACUUCGGGAGAAGGCACGCUGAUAUGUAGGUGAAGUCCCUCGCGGAUGGAGCUGAAAUCAGUCGAAGAUACCAGCUGGCUGCAACUGUUUAUUAAAAACACAGCACUGUGCAAACACGAAAGUGGACGUAUACGGUGUGACGCCUGCCCGGUGCCGGAAGGUUAAUUGAUGGGGUUAGCGCAAGCGAAGCUCUUGAUCGAAGCCCCGGUAAACGGCGGCCGUAACUAUAACGGUCCUAAGGUAGCGAAAUUCCUUGUCGGGUAAGUUCCGACCUGCACGAAUGGCGUAAUGAUGGCCAGGCUGUCUCCACCCGAGACUCAGUGAAAUUGAACUCGCUGUGAAGAUGCAGUGUACCCGCGGCAAGACGGAAAGACCCCGUGAACCUUUACUAUAGCUUGACACUGAACAUUGAGCCUUGAUGUGUAGGAUAGGUGGGAGGCUUUGAAGUGUGGACGCCAGUCUGCAUGGAGCCGACCUUGAAAUACCACCCUUUAAUGUUUGAUGUUCUAACGUUGACCCGUAAUCCGGGUUGCGGACAGUGUCUGGUGGGUAGUUUGACUGGGGCGGUCUCCUCCUAAAGAGUAACGGAGGAGCACGAAGGUUGGCUAAUCCUGGUCGGACAUCAGGAGGUUAGUGCAAUGGCAUAAGCCAGCUUGACUGCGAGCGUGACGGCGCGAGCAGGUGCGAAAGCAGGUCAUAGUGAUCCGGUGGUUCUGAAUGGAAGGGCCAUCGCUCAACGGAUAAAAGGUACUCCGGGGAUAACAGGCUGAUACCGCCCAAGAGUUCAUAUCGACGGCGGUGUUUGGCACCUCGAUGUCGGCUCAUCACAUCCUGGGGCUGAAGUAGGUCCCAAGGGUAUGGCUGUUCGCCAUUUAAAGUGGUACGCGAGCUGGGUUUAGAACGUCGUGAGACAGUUCGGUCCCUAUCUGCCGUGGGCGCUGGAGAACUGAGGGGGGCUGCUCCUAGUACGAGAGGACCGGAGUGGACGCAUCACUGGUGUUCGGGUUGUCAUGCCAAUGGCACUGCCCGGUAGCUAAAUGCGGAAGAGAUAAGUGCUGAAAGCAUCUAAGCACGAAA